CGAAUGCUUGCAUUCACCGAAAGAAGCUUAGUGGCGAACGGGUGAGUAACACGUAGGCAACCUGCCCAAAAGAGGGGGAUAACACUUGGAAACAGGUGCUAAUACCGCAUAACCAUGAACACCGCAUGAUGUUCAUGUAAAAGACGGCUUUUGCUGUCACUUUUGGAUGGGCCUGCGGCGUAUUAACUUGUUGGUGGGGUAACGGCCUACCAAGGUGAUGAUACGUAGCCGAACUGAGAGGUUGAUCGGCCACAUUGGGACUGAGACACGGCCCAAACUCCUACGGGAGGCAGCAGUAGGGAAUCUUCCACAAUGGACGAAAGUCUGAUGGAGCAACGCCGCGUGAAUGAAGAAGGCCUUCGGGUCGUAAAAUUCUGUUGUCAGAGAAGAACGUGCGUGAGAGUAACUGUUCACGUAUUGACGGUAUCUGACCAGAAAGCCACGGCUAACUACGUGCCAGCAGCCGCGGUAAUACGUAGGUGGCGAGCGUUGUCCGGAUUUAUUGGGCGUAAAGGGAACGCAGGCGGUCUUUUAAGUCUGAUGUGAAAGCCUUCGGCUUAACCGAAGUAGUGCAUUGGAAACUGGAAGACUUGAGUGCAGAAGAGGAGAGUGGAACUCCAUGUGUAGCGGUGAAAUGCGUAGAUAUAUGGAAGAACACCAGUGGCGAAAGCGGCUCUCUGGUCUGUAACUGACGCUGAGGUUCGAAAGCGUGGGUAGCAAACAGGAUUAGAUACCCUGGUAGUCCACGCCGUAAACGAUGAGUGCUAAGUGUUGGAGGGUUUCCGCCCUUCAGUGCUGCAGCUAACGCAUUAAGCACUCCGCCUGGGGAGUACGGUCGCAAGACUGAAACUCAAAGGAAUUGACGG
This 866-nucleotide ribosomal RNA is filed under the name uncultured bacterium. RNAcentral's name for it is "bacterial SSU rRNA". It matches the Rfam family "Bacterial small subunit ribosomal RNA", at positions 63 to 916 of the family's 1533-position model. The record is from RNAcentral.